Long non-coding RNA from Portunus trituberculatus (swimming crab), 272 nucleotides. RefSeq lists it as uncharacterized. NCBI's taxonomy places the organism in Eukaryota, Metazoa, Arthropoda, Malacostraca, Decapoda, Portunidae. The transcript has 3 exons. The record is from RefSeq and is a predicted model, not a curated record.
GGGAAGUGUUACUGCUGAGUUGUAUAGUAUUCUAGUGUUUCUUUUUUGUGUUGUGACCGUGACGCGAGAGAGGAAAGGACACACACAGUGGUGGUGAUAUAUGGUGCGCAGUGGAGGGCAGGGAUUGAGGUGCGUUGCCAGCCUUCCCUCUCCGCUCCCCACCCUUGCCCUGCCCUUCCCUUCACCUCCCACGUACAAGCACUCAGGUUGAAACGUGGCUAAGGUGAAGUAACGCCCCAACACACACACCUUUGAACGCCACCAACUCCAAG